GUAGUCUCGCACAGAUGCAUAUCAAUAAGCGGAGGAAAAGAAACUAACAAGGAUUCCCCUAGUAACGGCGAGUGAAGCGGGAAGAGCUCAAAUUUGAAAUCUUAAAGGGUUUCCCUUUACGAAUUGUAGUUUAAAGAAGUGUUUUCUGUUGAGGUUUUGGUAAAAGUUCUUUGGAAUAGGACAUCAUAGAGGGUGAGAAUCCCGUAUUUGACCUUUACUUUCAACUUUGUGAUACACUUUCAAAGAGUCGGAUUGUUUGGGAAUGCAGUCCAAAAUGGGUGGUAAAUUUCAUCUAAAGCUAAAUAUUGGCGAGAGACCGAUAGCGAACAAGUACCGUGAGGGAAAGAUGAAAAGAACUUUGAAAAGAGAGUUAAACAGUACGUGAAAUUGUCAAAAGGGAAGCGUUUGACACCAGUGUUGUUUUCUGAAAAUCAAUUAAAGAACUGUUUAUGCUAAGUUGUUUAGACUUUAUCAGCUAUCUGUUUAGUUUUGAGCUUUUCUUUAAUGCACUUUUCAGUUAACAAGUCGACAUCAAUUUCUUUUGCUGUAAAAAAGCUUGAGGAAGGUGGCUUGAGAUUCGUCUUAAGUGUUUAUAGCCUCUUGCCUAUGCAGUCGGAGAGAUUGAGGUCUGCAGCGUAGGAUCCUUCGGGGCUAAAUGCAUUUGUGCUAAGUUAUAGCAUUUUAUAGACAACUUGUUGACUAUGAUUUGUCUUGUAGCUUACUCGCUUAUGUUAUUUUACCUACGCUUAGGAUGUUGAUCUGUAGUGCGUGCGC
RNAcentral lists this ribosomal RNA (774 nucleotides) under uncultured Neocallimastigales. RNAcentral describes it as "partial large subunit ribosomal RNA". It matches the Rfam family "Eukaryotic large subunit ribosomal RNA", at positions 24 to 646 of the family's 3401-position model. The record is from RNAcentral. Lineage: Eukaryota; Fungi; Neocallimastigomycota; Neocallimastigomycetes; Neocallimastigales.